This 798-nucleotide ribosomal RNA is filed under the name uncultured bacterium. RNAcentral describes it as "bacterial SSU rRNA". It matches the Rfam family "Bacterial small subunit ribosomal RNA", at positions 8 to 814 of the family's 1533-position model. The record is from RNAcentral.
AGAGUUUGAUCCUGGCUCAGGAUGAACGCUGGCGGCGUGCUUAACACAUGCAAGUCGAACGAAGAUGCCGGAGUGCUUGCACUUUGGCAGACUGAGUGGCGGACGGGUGAGUAACGCGUGGGUAACCUGCCUUAUACAGGGGGAUAACAGUUGGAAACGACUGCUAAUACCGCAUAAGCGCACGGUAUCGCAUGAUACAGUGUGAAAAACUCCGGUGGUAUAAGAUGGACCCGCGUCUGAUUUGCUUGUUGGCGAGGUAACGGCCCACCAAGUCUGCGAUGGGUAGCCGAUCUGAGAGGAUGACCGGCCACAUUGGAACUGAGAAACGGUCCAGACUCCUACGGGAGGCAGCAGUGGGGAAUAUUGGGCAAUGGGCGCAAGCCUGACCCAGCAACGCCGCGUGAGGGAAGAAGGUUUUCGGAUCGUAAACCUCUGUUGUAGGGGACGAGGAAAAGACGGUACCCUACGAGGAAGCUCCGGCUAACUACGUGCCAGCAGCCGCGGUAAUACGUAGGGAGCGAGCGUUGUCCGGAAUGACUGGGCGUAAAGGGCGCGUAGGCGGUUUUGUAAGUCUGGAGUGAAACCCCCGUUUUCAAGGCGGGGCCUGCUUUGGAGACUGCAGGACUUGAGUGAUGGAGAGGAUAGCGGAAUUCCCGGUGUAGCGGUGAAAUGCGUAGAGAUCGGGAGGAACACCAGUGGCGAAGGCGGCUAUCUGGACAUAGACUGACGCUGAGGCGCGAAAGCGUGGGGAGCAAACAGGAUUAGAUACCCUGGUAGUCCACGCUGUAAACGAUGGAU